Molecule: transfer RNA, 73 nt
Filed under: Prevotella sp.
Lineage: Bacteria; Pseudomonadati; Bacteroidota; Bacteroidia; Bacteroidales; Prevotellaceae
Also listed under: 7 other names
Description: tRNA-Pro
Rfam family: tRNA
About the family: Transfer RNA (tRNA) molecules are approximately 80 nucleotides in length. Their secondary structure includes four short double-helical elements and three loops (D, anti-codon, and T loops). Further hydrogen bonds mediate the characteristic L-shaped molecular structure. tRNAs have two regions of fundamental functional importance: the anti-codon, which is responsible for specific mRNA codon recognition, and the 3' end, to which the tRNAs corresponding amino acid is attached (by aminoacyl-tRNA synthetases). tRNAs cope with the degeneracy of the genetic code in two manners: having more than one tRNA (with a specific anti-codon) for a particular amino acid; and 'wobble' base-pairing, i.e. permitting non-standard base-pairing at the 3rd anti-codon position.
Source: RNAcentral
CGGGAUGUAGCGCAGUUGGUAGCGCACUACGUUCGGGACGUAGGGGUCGCAAGUUCGAAUCUUGUCAUCCCGA